GACGAACGCUGGCGGCGCGCCUAACACAUGCAAGUCGAACGAGCGAGCGAGAGCUUGCUUUCUUGAGCGAGUGGCGAACGGGUGAGUAACGCGUGAGGAACCUGCCUCAAAGAGGGGGACAACAGUUGGAAACGACUGCUAAUACCGCAUAAGCCCACGGUGCCGCAUGGCACAGAGGGAAAAGGAGCAAUCCGCUUUGAGAUGGCCUCGCGUCCGAUUAGCUAGUUGGUGAGGUAACGGCCCACCAAGGCGACGAUCGGUAGCCGGACUGAGAGGUUGAACGGACACAUUGGGACUGAGACACGGCCCAGACUCCUACGGGAGGCAGCAGUGGGGAAUAUUGCACAAUGGGGGAAACCCUGAUGCAGCGACGCCGCGUGGAGGAAGAAGGUCGUCGGAUUGUAAACUCCUGUUGUUGGGGAAGAUAAUGACGGUACCCAACAAGGAAGUGACGGCUAACUACGUG
This 466-nucleotide ribosomal RNA is filed under the name uncultured bacterium. RNAcentral's name for it is "partial 16S ribosomal RNA". It matches the Rfam family "Bacterial small subunit ribosomal RNA", at positions 28 to 507 of the family's 1533-position model. The record is from RNAcentral.